Kogia breviceps (pygmy sperm whale) is the source of this 150-nucleotide small nuclear RNA. RefSeq annotates it as U12 minor spliceosomal RNA. The transcript has a single exon. The record is from RefSeq and is a predicted model, not a curated record. Lineage: Eukaryota; Metazoa; Chordata; Mammalia; Artiodactyla; Physeteridae.
AUGCCUUAAACUUCUGAGUCAGGAAAAUAACAAUUCGGGCUUACGCCCAAAUCCUCACUGCUAAUAUCAGACGAAUUUUUGAGCGGGUAAAGUUUGACUCUACGGUGACCCGACUACUUUGCGGGAUGCCUGGGAGUUGCGAUCUGCCCG